UUAAUUGAAGAGUUUGAUCAUGGCUCAGAUUGAACGCUUGCGGCAGGCCUAACACAUGCAAAUCGAACGGUAAAAGGGAGCAGCGUGCUGCUCUGCUGACGAGUGGGGGACGGGUGAGUAAUGUCGAGGAAACUGCCUG
Molecule: ribosomal RNA, 139 nt
Filed under: Cronobacter sakazakii
Lineage: Bacteria; Pseudomonadati; Pseudomonadota; Gammaproteobacteria; Enterobacterales; Enterobacteriaceae
Description: partial 16S ribosomal RNA
Rfam family: Bacterial small subunit ribosomal RNA
Source: RNAcentral